GCUACGGGUGGCAGCCGUGAGGAAUAUUGGUCAAUGGACGAGAGUCUGAACCAGCCAAGUAGCGUGAAGGAUGACUGCCCUAUGGGUUGUAAACUUCUUUUAUAAAGGAAUAAAACGAGGCACGUGUGCCUUUUUGCAUGUACUUUAUUAAUAAGUAUCGGCUAACUCCGGACCAGCAGCCACGGUACUACGGAUGAUCCGAGCGUUAUCCGGAUUGAUUGGGUUUACAGAGAGCGUAGAUGGGUUGUUAAGCCAGUUGUGCAAGUUUGCGGCUCAACCGUAAAAUUGCAAUUGAUACUGGCAGUCUUGAGUACAGUUGAGGUAGGCGGAAUUCGUGGUGUAGCGGUGAAAUG
RNAcentral lists this ribosomal RNA (353 nucleotides) under uncultured bacterium. RNAcentral's name for it is "partial 16S ribosomal RNA". It matches the Rfam family "Bacterial small subunit ribosomal RNA", at positions 338 to 688 of the family's 1533-position model. The record is from RNAcentral.